Long non-coding RNA from Mercenaria mercenaria, 2694 nucleotides. RefSeq lists it as uncharacterized. Lineage: Eukaryota; Metazoa; Mollusca; Bivalvia; Venerida; Veneridae. The transcript has 3 exons. The record is from RefSeq and is a predicted model, not a curated record.
CAGUGUACAUGUUGCUUGUCUCACAGCAGGAGAUUACCACAGACUGAUAAGAUCCUGCCUGCUAUAUAUUUAGAAACUCUACCAAGAGGUCAGCCAAUGAAAAUAAAGUCAGUGAACUACUUCUGGGGGCUGUGCAUGUACCACAAAAAGUAAUCCUUAACUUUUUUUAUCAGAGUAAUCUUUAAAAUUUAUGUGUAUCUAAAUGGAAUAAAAUCUUACUCUAGUACAGAAAUAGUUUCAACAUCCAAGAUGUAUCCUUCAUUAGCUGACUGUAAAUGACACAUUUGCCCAAGAAUAUCAAAAUUUCAAAUCUAAACAGGAAGUUCUUUGAGAGCAGGAUGGAGUUAUUUCACUACAAAGAAGUUUAUUUGUAUAGCUCUUUGUUUACUAUGUGCAGUUUAUAUUUAACAUGGAAGUUUAAGAGAAAUGAAAAGAAUACAAAUGGUAUAGCACCAUAUGUGUAUAUUAAGUAUGGCACACAUGAAUGAAUUGGGACCUAGUCAACGUAUUGUAUUCAAAGAAGACUUAAUGAAUCCAGCAGUUCAAAAAGAUGUUUUGCAGUGAGACGAAUGGUGGCAAAUGAUUGCUUUGUGGCAGUUAGUGAAAAACUGUGGCAUUUUACACUGAUGGUGGCUAACAUUAACAGAAAAUUUCUCAACCAAUAGUGACAUUCAGUUGAAAGCAAUAGCAUAUCUUACGUACACUGACUAUACAUCAGAAGAUUGUUAAAAAAAAAACAUGGCAAAAAGUGGAAAAUAUUGAUAUAACAAAUGGAUAUGACAAUUAGAUCUACAAGUGUUGGUUCAAUGAUUCCUUUCUAUAAAAUCUUAUAUAAAGCUAGCUCUACCUUGCGUGCGAUAAUAAUUGUCAUAACAAACAAACAAAAAAACACUGUUUUCAUUUGAACGUACUUAUAAACUUUGAUAAUGUGACCUCAAUACAAUCGACACUGUUUAUUUUCCAAUACAGGUAAAUCCAAUAUUUGCUUUACAAUGGAUCUAUGACGGAUUAUCUUUCAACACCCCUGGACUUUUUGGACUCAACUGCCACAUUAUCAAAGCUUAUUAGUAGUUGAAUUUUCUAUAUUCUACUUUUAAAACAACAUAUCCAUUAGAUCUAUCACUUUAUUGUAAUUUACAAUGUAUGCAAGUACGGCGAUACUGGGCUUGAAAGAUAGAGUCAGAGCGCGCGCUUUGUGUGACGUCAAGAUAAAGACAAGAGUUUUCUGAUGACAGCGCGCUCGACUAUUCGAAGAACUGAUUGAAGAAUGGGGUGAAAAUAUUACCACAGAUAUUCAGACAGAAGUAAAAAAUUAAUUAGACAAACAAUGUUCCUAUAUUUGUGGAUUUCGAUAAGUCUUGCACUAAAUGGCAAUGUGUGAACCAAUUUCAAAGUCCAAAAAGGGCCAUAUUUCAGCCAAAAUAGUUAUCAGAGUUAUGUACUCUUGCUUACAGAUGACAAUCAUGAUGAUAAACAAGUUUAAAAGGAAUAUGUCAAAUAGUUUGACAAAAUGUGGACUUGUAUAAAAAAAAACAGAAUAAAUUUCCAAGUCCAAAAAGGGCUAUAAUUCAGCCAAAAUAGAAGACAGAGUUGUGUACUCUUUCCUACAGAUAGAGAUUAUUAUACUGAACAAGUGAUAAAAGUUUCAAAGCCAUAUGUCAAACACUUUACACAAAAUAUGAAAAUCAUGUAGUACGAAAAACUUAACCAAGAUUUCUAAGUCAAAAGGGGCCAUAAUUCAGCCAAAAUCCUUAACUGAGUUAUGUACUCUUGCCUAUAACUGGACAUUGUGAUGGUAAAAAGGUGCUGAAAGUUUCAAAGCUUUAUCUCAAAAGACCUUGUCAAAAUAUGAACUGGUACGAAAAACUUAACCAAGAUUUCUAAGUCAAAAAGGGCCAGCAUUCAGCCAAAAUCUUUGAUGGAGUUAUGUGCUCUUGCCUAUAACUGGCCAUGGUGAUGGUUAACAAAUGUUGGAAGUUUCAAAGCUUUAUCUCAAAAGACUUUGUCAAAAUAUGAACUGGUACGAAAAACUUAACCAAGAUUUCUAAGUUGAAAAGGGCCAUAAUUCAGCCAAAAUCCUUGAUUGAUUUACGUACUCUUGCCUAUAACUGGACAUGGUGAUGGUAAACAAGUGUUGAAAGUUUCAAAGCUUUAUCUCAAAAGACUUUGUCAAAAUAUGAACUGGUACGAAAAACUUAACCAUGAUUUCUAAGUCAAAAGGGGUCAUAAUUCAGCUAAAAUUCUUGAUGGAGUUAUGUGCUCUUGCCUAUGACUGGCCAUGGUGAUGGUAAACAAGUGUUGAAAGUUUCAAAGCUUUAUCUCAAAAGACUUUGUCAAAAUGUGGACUGGUACGAAAAACUUAACCAAGGUGUGACGCCGACGCCGUGGUGAGUAGGAUAGCUCUACUUAUUCUUCGAAUAGUCGAGCUAAAACAUAAGACGCAUUCAGCUCUUUCAAGUUGAAGGGGCAAUUUGAUCUGCAAACAGUAGUAAUAGUACUAUUCUAUAUUAUCAUAGCUACAGUUCAUAUACACAUUAUUGUGAAUGAACAAAAUUAAUUAAAUAUUUUAUUUAUGCUCAAAAACGAUAUUUACGUGAUGUCUCAAAGCCAAGGGAAGUAUUAGAAAUUGAUGUUAAAGGGAGGUAGAUAGGUAUUUGCUUUCUGAUGUUAUAUAUCUUUAAUAAGAAAUUACCA